CCUACGGGAGGCAGCAGUGGGGAAUAUUGCGCAAUGGGCGAAAGCCUGACGCAGCCACGCCGCGUGAGUGAUGAAGGCCUUCGGGUUGUAAAGCUCUGUCGGGAGGGACGAAGGGGGCAACCCCUGACGGUACCUCGCAAGAAAGCACCGGCUAACUCUGUGCCAGCAGCCGCGGUAAUACAGAGGGUGCAAGCGUUGCUCGGAUUUACUGGGCGUAAAGCGUACGCAGACGGUGAGAAAGGUCGGAUGUGAAAGCCCCGGGCUCAACCCGGGAACUGCAUCCGAAACCAUCUCGCUCGAGUGUGGGAGAGGGAAGCGGAAUUCCUGGUGUAGAGGUGAAAUUCGUAGAUAUCAGGAGGAACACCGGCGGCGAAGGCGGCUUCCUGGCCCAUUACUGACGUUCAGGUACGAAAGCGUGGGUAGCAAACAGGAUUAGAUAC
RNAcentral lists this ribosomal RNA (440 nucleotides) under uncultured bacterium. RNAcentral's name for it is "bacterial SSU rRNA". It matches the Rfam family "Bacterial small subunit ribosomal RNA", at positions 338 to 785 of the family's 1533-position model. The record is from RNAcentral.